UAGGGAAUCUUCCACAAUGGGCGCAAGCCUGAUGGAGCAACACCGCGUGAGUGAAGAAGGCNUUCGGCUCGUAAAGCUCUGUUGUUAAAGAAGAACACGUAUGAGAGCAACUGUUCGUACGUUGACGGUAUUUAACCAGAAAGUCCCGGCUAAAUACGUGCCCGCAGCCGCGGUAAUACGUAGGGGGCCAGCGUUAUCCGGAUUUAUUGGGGGUAAAGAGAGGGCCGGCGGUUUUGUAAGUUUGAAAUGAAAGCCUUCGGGUUAACCCGAGAAGGGCAUCGGAAACUGGAUAACUUGAGUGCAGAAGGGGGUAGUGGAAUUCCAUGUGUAGCGGUGGAAUGCGUAGAUAUAUGGAGGAACACCGGUGGCGAAAGCGGCUCUCUGGCUUGUAACUGACGCUGAGGCUCGAAAGCGUGGGGAGCAAACAGGAUUAGAUACCCUGGUAGUCCACGCCGUAAACGAUGAGUGCUAGGUGUUAGGCCCUUUCCGGGGUUUAGUGCCGCAGCUAACGCAUUAAGCACUCCGCCUGGGGAGUACGACCGCAAGGUUG
RNAcentral lists this ribosomal RNA (550 nucleotides) under uncultured bacterium. RNAcentral's name for it is "bacterial SSU rRNA". It matches the Rfam family "Bacterial small subunit ribosomal RNA", at positions 355 to 896 of the family's 1533-position model. The record is from RNAcentral.